AGUGAACGCUGGCGGUAGGCCUAACACAUGCAAGUCGAACGGCAGCACAGUAAGAGCUUGCUCUUACGGGUGGCGAGUGGCGGACGGGUGAGGAAUACAUCGGAAUCUACUUUUUCGUGGGGGAUCACGUGGGGAAACUUACGCUAAUACCGCAUACGACCUACGGGUGAAAGCAGGGGAUCUUCGGACCUUGCGCGAUUGAAUGAGCCGAUGUCGGAUUAGCUAGUUGGCGGGGUAAAGGCCCACCAAGGCGACGAUCCGUAGCUGGUCUGAGAGGAUGAUCAGCCACACUGGAACUGAGACACGGUCCAGACUCCUACGGGAGGCAGCAGUGGGGAAUAUUGGACAAUGGGCGCAAGCCUGAUCCAGCCAUACCGCGUGGGUGAAGAAGGCCUUCGGGUUGUAAAGCCCUUUUGUUGGGAAAGAAAAGCAGCAGGUUAAUACCCCGCUGUUCUGACGGUACCCAAAGAAUAAGCACCGGCUAACUUCGUG
RNAcentral lists this ribosomal RNA (492 nucleotides) under uncultured bacterium. RNAcentral's name for it is "partial 16S ribosomal RNA". It matches the Rfam family "Bacterial small subunit ribosomal RNA", at positions 29 to 507 of the family's 1533-position model. The record is from RNAcentral.